CCUACGGGAGGCAGCAGUGAGGAAUAUUGGUCAAUGGACGCAAGUCUGAACCAGCCAUGCCGCGUGCAGGAAGACGGCUCUAUGAGUUGUAAACUGCUUUUGUACGAGGGUAAACGCAGAUACGCGUAUCUGUCUGAAAGUAUCGUACGAAUAAGGAUCGACUAACUCCGUGCCAGCAGCCGCGGUAAUACGGAGGAUUCAAGCGUUAUCCGGAUUUAUUGGGUUUAAAGGGUGCGUAGGCGGUCGGAUAAGUUAGAGGUGAAAUCCCGAGGCUCAACUUCGGAAUUGCCUCUGAUACUGUACGGCUAGAGAGUAGUUGCGGUAGGCGGAAUGUAUGGUGUAGCGGUGAAAUGCUUAGAGAUCAUACAGAACACCGAUUGCGAAGGCAGCUUACCAAGCUACGUCUGACGUUGAGGCACGAAAGCGUGGGGAGCAAACAGGAUUAGAUACCCUGGUAGUC
Molecule: ribosomal RNA, 460 nt
Filed under: uncultured bacterium
Lineage: Bacteria
Description: partial 16S ribosomal RNA
Rfam family: Bacterial small subunit ribosomal RNA
Source: RNAcentral